Small nucleolar RNA from Mustela putorius furo (domestic ferret), 129 nucleotides. NCBI's taxonomy places the organism in Eukaryota, Metazoa, Chordata, Mammalia, Carnivora, Mustelidae. The record is from Ensembl.
ACAUGGGCAGGCACUAAUGGCAGGCCCUCCUCUGUGGGCCUCUCAUAGUGGACCCAUGCCAGAGGAGCAGGCAGCCCCGAACCAACCUCCUCACUGGUGGACUAUGAGCACAAAUGGGGAUGUCCAGUA